Molecule: ribosomal RNA, 253 nt
Filed under: uncultured bacterium
Lineage: Bacteria
Description: partial 16S ribosomal RNA
Rfam family: Bacterial small subunit ribosomal RNA
Source: RNAcentral
UACGAAGGGGGCGAGCGUUGUUCGGAAUUACUGGGCGUAAAGGGCGCGCAGGCGGCCGAUCAAGUCAGGCGUGAAAGCCCCGGGCUUAACCUGGGAAUUGCGCUUGGGACUGGUUGGCUUGAGUUCGGGAGAGGAGAGUGGAAUUCCCAGUGUAGAGGUGAAAUUCGUAGAUAUUGGGAAGAACACCGGUGGCGAAGGCGGCUCUCUGGACCGAUACUGACGCUGAGGCGCGAAAGCGUGGGGAGCAAACAGG